GAUGAACGCUAGGGGCAGGCCUAAUACAUGCAAGUCGAACGAUAGUGAGAAGCUUGCUUCUCACGAAAGUGGCGCACGGGUGCGUAACGCGUAUGCAACCUACCUUAAUCAGGGGGAUAGCCCGAAGAAAUUCGGAUUAACACCGCAUAAAAUCACAGUAUAGCAUUAUACAAUGAUCAAAGAUUUAUAGGAUUAAGAUGGGCAUGCGUGACAUUAGUUAGUUGGCGGGGUAACGGCCCACCAAGACCACGAUGUAUAGGGGAUCUGAGAGGAUGACCCCCCACACUGGUACUGAGACACGGACCAGACUCCUACGGGAGGCAGCAGUAAGGAAUAUUGGUCAAUGGAGGCAACUCUGAACCAGCCAUGCCGCGUGCAGGAAGACAGCCCUCUGGGUCGUAAACUGCUUUUAUUCGGGAAUAAACCUAUCUACGUGUAGAUAGCUGAAUGUACCGAAGGAAUAAGGAUCGGCUAACUCCGUGCCAGCAGCCGCAGUAA
Molecule: ribosomal RNA, 498 nt
Filed under: uncultured bacterium
Lineage: Bacteria
Description: partial 16S ribosomal RNA
Rfam family: Bacterial small subunit ribosomal RNA
Source: RNAcentral